This 803-nucleotide ribosomal RNA is filed under the name uncultured bacterium. Its description in RNAcentral is "bacterial SSU rRNA". It matches the Rfam family "Bacterial small subunit ribosomal RNA", at positions 8 to 798 of the family's 1533-position model. The record is from RNAcentral.
AGAGUUUGAUCAUGGCUCAGAUUGAACGCUGGCGGCAGGCUUAACACAUGCAAGUCGAACGGUAACAGGAAGAAAGCUUGCUUUCUUUGCUGACGAGUGGCGGACGGGUGAGUAAUGCUUGGGAAUCUGGCUUAUGGAGGGGGAUAACUACGGGAAACUGUAGCUAAUACCGCAUAAUAUCGAGAGAUUAAAGGGUGGGACCGCAAGGCCACCUGCCAUGAGAUGAGCCCAAGUGGGAUUAGGUAGUUGGUGAGGUAAGGGCUCACCAAGCCGACGAUCUCUAGCUGGUCUGAGAGGAUGACCAGCCACACUGGAACUGAGACACGGUCCAGACUCCUACGGGAGGCAGCAGUGGGGAAUAUUGCACAAUGGGGGGAACCCUGAUGCAGCCAUGCCGCGUGAAUGAAGAAGGCCUUCGGGUUGUAAAGUUCUUUCGGUAGCGAGGAAGGCAUUUAGUUUAAUAGACUAGGUGAUUGACGUUAACUACAGAAGAAGCACCGGCUAACUCCGUGCCAGCAGCCGCGGUAAUACGGGGGGUGCGAGCGUUAAUCGGAAUAACUGGGCGUAAAGGGCACGCAGGCGGUGACUUAAGUGAGAUGUGAAAGCCCCGGGCUUAACCUGGGAAUUGCAUUUCAUACUGGGUCGCUAGAGUACUUUAGGGAGGGGUAGAAUUCCACGUGUAGCGGUGAAAUGCGUAGAGAUGUGGAGGAAUACCGAAGGCGAAGGCAGCCCCUUGGGAAUGUACUGACGCUCAUGUGCGAAAGCGUGGGGAGCAAACAGGAUUAGAUACCCUGGUAGUCCAA